This 300-nucleotide non-coding RNA is filed under the name uncultured Stichotrichia. The record is from RNAcentral. Lineage: Eukaryota; Ciliophora; Spirotrichea.
CAUUGAGGCCGAAGGGAAGGUCAUUGACCCCAACAAGCAGCCCUUGAAGAAAAACUCGGGGAAUGAGUACUUAGGACUCUGCAACUACAGCUGCUGUGGCUGAAAUGGCAAAAGCUAACUAUCGUCGGAGUCGGGCUCUUUCCAUUUACCUUCCAGGUCCAACUAGGAAGAGAACCUGGCCAGCUAGCGGGGAAGGAACUGCCACCUGACCUACACUGAGGACUCCUUCUCCAACAAGCACAGCAUAUAGCUGCGAUAACGCUUUCCCAGUGAUCAUGAAGGGACUCAGGAUGAGUGCAA